CAGCGAUCACGCUCCUUGUGUGGAGCUGGCGCGUGCGCCUGUCGCAUCUUCAGUCUUUUUUCGUCCCCUCCCCUCCCCUUCUCCACUCUCCCUGCAUCUCUUCAUCCCCUUUCCGUUUGAGACAGAUCUAUCUCCUUACUUCCUGUUAUCUUAGGAAGAGUGCACCGCCUUGCCAGGAUUUAAUUUGUGUUAUGUUUAGUGAGUAUUUGCAGAGAGCUGCCUGUGUGUCCGGCCUGGUGGGGAAAGAGGACCCAAGUGUGGUCCACCCGCAGCUGCUCGGAGGCUGGGAGUAGCGUGUGAUCCAGCAGUGCCUCUGAGAUCCCCAAGCGCUCGGCCCCUGUGAACCUUCUGCUCUACGGUGGUCACGGCCCAGGCUGCUGGAGGGAGUUAGGAGUCGCCCGCUCCUCCUUCUGCCCUCCUGCGCGCUCCCCUGGGGCUGCAUGGGGAGCCCCACCCUCUGCCAGGGAAGUCUGUGCCUUGAGGUGCAGAGGACACCUGGGGCUGAGACAGUGACUCAUGUGUGCCCUGGGGCCAAGUUACUUCAUCUCCUCUGUUCUUCCUCUUUCAGAAUCUCGCAGCUAUAAAGGAUCGGUGGUGCGGUUACUGCAGAGCUGUAACGCGCCUGUGCACGCACGUGUGCGCGUGUGCGCUGGCCUUGCUGUUUAAUAGGGUGCUAAGGCAGCGGGGGGCUGCGCGGCCGCCCCCAGCCCCUCACGUGUGGCUCUCAUUACUGUCGGAGGCGUCAGCUCGGCCGUCAUUAGGAGCGGUUCCCACAUCCCAGCGCCUGCGCCCUGGCUUCGUGGCAGGGAGCCCAGGCGGGCCAAGCAGCCAGGCAUCGAAGGGACUCGGCGGGUUUCCACUUGGCUGAGCAGAAGAUGAAUGAGGCUCUGUCCCCCACAUGGGGUCUGGAAUCUUCAAUUACGGCAAUUACAUCAACAGGCCCUCCGCUGGAGAGGUCUGGGCUUCAGAGAAAACUCCUAAAGCCACUGGAUUUUCCCUUUCUUUUAACGGCACUGGGUUGAUGAAAGGAGACCCCAGCUCCCGUCUAAUUGGGCCCUGGGUGGCGAAGGAGGGUGGUCGUGAUUUCUCACAGGAUCUGGUGCUUUGUCUCAGGAUCUCCAGUCCACGGAGCCUCAGGACAUCGGGAUGGCCCUUGUUUGGUGUCAGAAGACCCGGCUCCAGUCACUUUGCCUCUCUGAUCCUCAGUGCCCACAUCUGUAAAAUGGGCAUAGUGCAUACCAAGACCCCCUCCUCCUAAGGCCUCAGAGACUCCGAACGCUACCCAGAUCCAGACCCACUGGCAGCAGCAACCACCCGUGGCUCUCAGCAGGAGAACACACGCUCCGGUGCACCCCAAAGGGGCAGCUUCCACCCUGGAGCAGCAGGAGUGGUUCCUGAGGGGCUUCUCGUCAUGAAGGCUCUGCCUGGCCGAGGCCGAGGCACCCGGCGUGGACAGGCGGCCUCAGUGUGGUGACACCAGGGUUUCUUCUCAACACAGCUCUCUGAGAAAGGGAUCCUGACCUGGCCGUGUGCAACAGCAGCACUCCAUGGGACCGGCCCUGGGCGGGGGAGAGCAGAGAGUUGUGAACCGCAGAAGGGAGGUGACGCCCCUCGCAGCUGCCCACGCUUUUCCAGCCCCAGGACAGCACACUGCCACUCCUACCUGUGAGCAGGGUGCAGCUGUGGACUCCUUGCCGGGGCCUUUAGGAAAGGAAAUGUGAAAUAACUGGGGCUGUGAGUCCCUGCCCCAUUCCUCACCCUAACCUGGGAGGCAGCGAUGAUGCUAACUCUGCACAGACACCAGGCCUGCGCGCUCACACGGUGGGUCAGAGCGAGGCGUGGGAUUUACACUGCGGAAGUCCCAGUGAGAGUUUGCUGUUUCUUGCUGCCACUUUGUCUCUCUCUCUCUCUCUCUCUCACACACACACACACACACACACACACACACACACACACACACGCACGCACACACGGAAUGGCAGAGAAUUAUAGCCGGGCAGUCAGAUGGUGGACAAUGUGCUGCGGAGCUUCAGAGGCGGAGAGAGCACGUCCGGAUGGAGAGUAUGGGCAGCCCGGGGUGGGGCAGGAAGGAGGCGGCUUUCGUUUCUGGGUCUCUGAGAGGCCAGAGUUGGAUGUUGCGCUCUGAGUCUAGGUGGGUGGCUUCUCACACCUGGAGAACCAAAGGCAGAGUCAGUUUAGUCCACGCUCUUGGCUCAGUGCGUGCUAUUCCCACACCAGGGAAGUCUGGAGGGCUGGGGGUGGAGUGGAAGUGGUUUUCAACUCAGUUUGACCAAGGAGCUUUCCUGGAAUGGGCCCUGGGGAGAAAUCCGAUGCAGCAGGGUCGAUUAGGAGCUGGAUUUUACUGUAGAUUUGGCAUAGCCUGACUCCCGCCCGCCCCACUGCUCCCUCUCCCCCUACGCCCCCACCCCUGCUGCCUUGCCUGGGCCAGCUCCGUGUUGGGUGGUGGAGGGGGGCACGGGUUUUGGCUCCCUGGGGUCUCACAGGGAGGGAUAAGGUUGCAGGCCUCAGGGCCCCAGUGUUUGCCUAGAAACUCAAGAAGAAUCCUCCAGGAUGGGCAGAGGGAUGUGGGGUGACCCGUGGAGGGGUGUAGGUAACCCGAGUCAAAGAAAAUAAGCCCGCUACAUGGUGCAGGCACUCAGAGAGCAGCUCACAGGCUGCCAGGGGCGUGCGGCUACUGGGAGCGGGUGAUGGGUCAGGGCAGAGCCAGUGUGCCCUGGGCCCUGGUGGGCGGGCGUGUGCCCUGGCUGGGCCCCUACCCCUCCGGGUGCCCCAGCUGUCUGCACCUGGCCAUGCCAGCAGUUGUGUUCCUGAGCUGGCCCUGGCCACAGCAAGUUGGGCUUCACCGGCCAGCCUGCCCCUCCUCCCACUCGGGAAGGAGAGGCUGGGGACAGCUCUGCAGACCUCGGGUGGUUUGGAUCAAGCCAAGGAGCUGGAUGAGCUGGAAGCCACCCUGUGUCCAGUGCUUGCUGAGACCUGGUGGACCCCCGGCCCUUCUGAAUCCUUGGACAGUGGGCACAGUGCCCGAGUGCCUCCUCUGGGGCUUCACGGGGCAAGCACAUUCCCCUUCCCUUCUGGGCCACCACAGGGCUCAGGGCCAGUGGGACCUCAGAGGGCCCUGGGCUGUGGCUGCUGAGCCCAAUAGGCGGCCACCUGGGAAGCUGUGACAAAGGCACAUUCCAGGCUCCCAGCCCAGAAGCUCUGGAUGCCCAAGUUGGACUCCUCCCGCCCUGUGAUUGAUUCUGCAGAUCCCACGCUCAAGGCCGCCGUCCCCUGGGGCAGUGGAGCUCUGCAGUGCGUCAGCAGUCAGCAGCUUGUGCUUGGCAACCACCUUGCUCCUUGGAUUUACUGUUCUCAUUAAGGCCAGCUCCAGACCCGCCAGAGGCAGGGCGCCCUGCGCAUGUGCAGCCAGCCUUGAAGGCUCCCUAAGCCUGUGCAGGUCCCCUGAGGGGCAGGUUUGUGUGCUGGCCCUGUUCCCUGUCAUCCAGGGAAAGGGGGGCUCUCCUGGGUGGGCCACACCAUCCGAGUUGCCCAUAGCGGCCUUCAGGGUCCUUCCCGUGUAGAGGGAGCUGGGAACCAGGAAUGUGGUCACCAGGGCCCCAGUGCCAGGCGCUGGACAGAGAAGUGCAGGGAAGCACUUCCCAGCCCUCCCUGCAGGCACGAAAGCAUGCGUGUGUGUGUGCACACACACACAUACACACACCCAGGACAUCUCUCCGAGGAAACACUUUCAUUUUCAUUUCUACAUUUUGAGAAGAUGUCACAAAAAAGAUUGGCAGACCCUUUGGAACUGUCUGGGGGGUUGAGGGCGAAUGCUGGACCCUCCUCUCCUACACCCACCCAUACCCUGCACACGGAGGUCAGGGCAGGGGGGUCUGAGUAUCUGGGGUAACAGGCCACAGCACAUGGAAUGGGCCGCAAAGCGUCCAGAUGGCAACCACGUGUGCGUGAGUGUGCACGUGAGUGUGCUCUGUGGGCUCUUUGGAUCCACACUGGAGGACUCAGCCCCACUCAGCCAAUUGGAAGCAUUCGGGAGGAAAUGGGUCUGCAUUGGAGCUGCAGAGUUCUUCCUGGCCCUGUGUCCCACACAACACAGUGCAGUGAGGACUCCACAGAGCUGCCUUGUGCUUGGGACCCUGAGUGAUCCACGGGGAUUUACAGUGGGUGGGAGCUUGCACAGGUUGUACGAGAAUACCACGUCAUUUUAUUGAUUUAUCUGUUAUUUUUCAGAUGGGAUCUGACCACGUUACCCAGGCUGGUUUUGAAUUCCUGGCUUCCUGAGUAGCUGGGACCACAGGCACACACUGCCAUGCCUGGCUACUAUGCUGUCCGAUCCCCAGGAUGUGAGCAUCUGAGAAUCUUGGUGUCUGCAGGGGCCCUGGAGCUCCUCCAAAUACCAAGGUGACUGUGUAGGUGAAGAGGGAGAGAAAACACACAUGGUGUGUAAGUAAAGGGUAGUAUAGUAAAACAGAUACAGACAUUCUUCAUACUAUUUUUAGUUUUGCAAUUUUUUUUAACUAUUCAAAAUUUUUUUUGAAAUAAAAACAUUGAUAAAGGGUGUGUGGUUUAUUCAAGGACACAGAGCAAAGGGGCAGUUGGAUGAGUGGUUUCCUUGUCCAAGAACAUCCCGGCCACUUCUUAUAGUCUCUGGAUUUAUAUAUUUUAGACUCAGUGUCAAUGCCAGCUUCUCUGGCUUCCUAGUUCUGUGUGUCCAGAUUUCAUGUACUUGUCUUUCCCCUUAUUGUGGCAGAUCGAAGUGAAUUCUUUUUUUGGUUGUUGAGCUUUGCUUUUUUGAGGCAGGGUCUUGAUAUCUAGUGUAGGCUGAUCUUGGACACGUGGCCAUCCUUCUGCCUCAGCCUCCUGAGUACUGUGAUCUCAGGUGUGCACCCCUACACCCUGUUAAAAGUGAAUUGUUUUUUCUUUUUGGUACCAGGGAUCGAACUUGGGACCUUGCGCUUGCAAGGUAGGCAGCGGAACCACCGAGCUAAAUCCCUGGCCCUGAAGUGAAUUCUUUGACAUUUCAUUUAUUUUGCUUUUGCUGCCUGUCAGUUCUGUGUGGAUAGGGCCUUGUGUGUCUUGUUCCUGGCUGAACCCCAAGGGCAGAGCCCAGUGGCUGUAUUACCGUAGGUGCCCAAGAAAUAUUUACUGGAAGAGUUAAUGAGUAAGUGAAGGAGAGAGACGCAUGGCCUCUGCCAGGCCACCCUCUUUGCUGUUGUGGAGCAGCCAUGACACAGAGGUGACCUGUAUUUCACCUGUGUGGCCAUGGGGAGCAGGGGCCGGGGCGCUCCAGUCCAGGGCCGCCCAGGCCCUGUGACCAAAGUGUGCCCAGGACCCCGGGCAUGUUUAUGUUAAUUCUGAAUACCAAAUGCAUCCAUUUACCCAAAAUCCCCAAAGCGGAAACACACAGAGUAGGGCAUGGGCCCCUUCCACCCUGCCCUCUCUGCUCCCAGCUGCUCUUACUGGUGUUCAUUUUCUGAAGGGCCCUCCGAUGUAUAUUGUUUAUUUACUUAUUUAUUUUGUUUCUUGACACAGCGUCUCAAUGUAUCAUUCAGGCUGUUCUUGAACUCAUGAGAUAAUCCAGGCUGGGCUUGAACUUGCAGUGAUCCUCCUGCCUCAGCCUCCGAGCACUGUGAUUCCAGGUGUGCACCACCGUGGGUAGUUUAGGCGUGCACAACCAAAUCUGUGUGAGCGUGGAUGUCCAUGCACUCUGGUUGUACUUUGCCUUGCUCAUGUAAUGACAGGUCACGGCCCGAUUUGUUUCAUAAGAGUUCCUGAAAGUCUGUCUUUGGUUUCGUUGGGAUUGGUUUCCUUGGGGCUGCUGCGCAUAUAUGGGUGUCGGUGGGUAAGUGGAAAUGCCUACAGGUCUACGAUCGAAGGAGCCAGCUCCAAACCUUCCCUGCUGUGCUGGGAGCCUCCUGCUGCCACGGGGAGUGAAGAGCACUGAGGAAUGACAGAGCAAGAGGCAGGGACCUCAGAGCACCCAAGUCCGGCAUGGUGAUCACCAGCUGCCAAAUCCAACGUGGCUACGAAGGCAAAGUACUCUGCAGCUGACUCAACUGGAAGGCACAGGGAGGGAGCUGCCCAGGGCUCCCGGAAUGUCUGAUUACUCAUGGGGUUGCGACAGUGUGGUGAGCUCCAGGAGCGAGGCUUCCUUCCUGGAUGACCUCAGCCUGCUGGGUGAGUAAUGGAGCCGGGCUGGCAGAACUGGGUGGUCGGGUGUGGCUGGGGCUCUGAGAAGG
Long non-coding RNA from Heterocephalus glaber (naked mole-rat), 6257 nucleotides. Lineage: Eukaryota; Metazoa; Chordata; Mammalia; Rodentia; Bathyergidae. The record is from Ensembl.